Molecule: long non-coding RNA, 571 nt
Organism: Gossypium arboreum
Lineage: Eukaryota; Viridiplantae; Streptophyta; Magnoliopsida; Malvales; Malvaceae
Exons: 3
Source: RefSeq, a predicted model, not a curated record
AUUAAAAUAUAUUAGACAAAUGAUAAAAGCUAUCAUUUUUUUUUCAUUCUUUCUUCUUCAACCGUGGGAAAGAACUGAAAAUGGCAGCCAUGGAUGAGCUCCAUUCAGCCAAGCUUCUAUGGCUUAUAUAGAUGAUGAAAAUUGAGACUUGGACCUAGAACGGAAAGAAAUCGAUUUAUGGACGAGUAUGUCCUUUUCACCUUUGUGGUAUCGAGAGUUUCCAGGUUAGCUCGGGUUGGAGGCCGUCAGAGAUAUUAUCACUCUAUCGAGUUAACGUUAUCGGAGUAAGUAAACUCAAGUGAUUCGAGUCUAUGGCAUGUAUAGGGUUUUAAUGUGAGUAUGUGAUAUUAUGAUUUAGCCAAAGGCAUUGGCUUGUUAUUAAGGUAGUAUUAGUCAUGUAAAUUGGCCUAUGUCGGCUAAUGACAUAAUGGGCCCAUAUGAUUAUUCUUAUGCAUGUAUGUUAUUAUCUCUUGUGAUGUGGCUUACAACAUGUAUGCCUAGAGAUUGAAUUGAGAUUCAUUGAUGAGCUAGUAACUAAUGCAGGAUUAAGUGAUUGGUAAAUAGUUAAUAA